UCUCUGAUAGUAUAUUGGCUAGUACACUCGCCUGUCAUGGUGAUCUAAUGGUCACAGCACGGGCGUGAGAUGCGCGGGAGAGCUGGGUUCAAUUCCCAGUCAGAGAG
Non-coding RNA from Fistulina hepatica ATCC 64428, 107 nucleotides. The record is from the annotation of a GenBank genome assembly. Lineage: Eukaryota; Fungi; Basidiomycota; Agaricomycetes; Agaricales; Fistulinaceae.